Long non-coding RNA from Brassica oleracea var. oleracea, 1018 nucleotides. RefSeq lists it as uncharacterized. The transcript has 3 exons. The record is from RefSeq and is a predicted model, not a curated record. Lineage: Eukaryota; Viridiplantae; Streptophyta; Magnoliopsida; Brassicales; Brassicaceae.
UCUCUAAAUCCCCAGUCUCGACUCUCUCUCGAGACGAGAGACGAUAGAAACGGCCACGGCUCCGACCCGACUUUCUCUUCUGUUUCCAUUAACAUCGAGCCUCCAAUCGAGCCUUCGUCGAUAUUCUUCAUCUUUCUUCUAACUUUCUUAGACCUAAACGCAAAGUCACGAAUAUUUUUCUUCUUCUUUCUCUCUCGUUCAAUUGAAAAGGCGACGACUAGUAACCCAAAUCCGCGAUUCUCUUUGUUUCUUCUUUAUUCUCCAUAGAAAUCAAUGUUUCAACCGACGGUCUUCAUCUUCUUCCUAAUUUUGUAAAUCAUGGUUUGGGAUAUAGAGAAGAUGCAGGUUUAAACUUGGAGAGUGAUGCUGAUGAAUAACUCCGAAUCUAUAUUCCUUUUAACCAGUCUCUUAGUGGUGACUUGAGCUGUGAGAUUUUAAAUUUUUGUGAUCAGAAAAGACUCUGACCUUGGUAGAUUGUAUGUAGAGAUGAAGAGGCUUAAUAGAUGGAAUAUGUUUUUCUUGGUAGAUAGCUUGCUUAGAGGUGUCCUACUUGUGCUUAGUUGCUUAGAUUGAAUCUAGGGUUAGAUUUUUCUUUAAGUUCCAGUUAGCUACAAAGGAAUCAAAUAUUAUUAGCUGCUAUAAGAUCUUCUGCUGUCUUUAGUAACAGGACAAUGUUGUGGAACCGUUGCUUGUUGGCAAUACCGGUAGGACUUAAGCAAAAGGACAAUGUUGACGCUCUUGUACAGAAGUUUCUUCCGGAGAAUUUCACAGAGGUGAGUUGAGGAAGACAAGAACUGGGUCGACCGAUCUCGACAAGGAACCGUGUCAGCAAUAAUCGAAGGUUUAAGCGGAGUUGUGUGAUAUCAAGUUCAUUGCAGAGGCAAGCUGAACAUAUUACGAAAUAAACACAGACAGUUUUGUAAUCAAAUCAGAUUAAAUGUAGAAAAAGAUUUAAAUAUAUGUUAACAUUUAAUUAUACACUCGAUUUUUAUUAAUGUAGUUUUCAUUAUCUUCUUUA